AGACGUCUACAUUAGAUACCCCGUAGUCCCAGCCGUAAACUAUGCGCGUUAGGUGUAUCGGUGACCACGAGUUACCGAGGUGCCGAAGGGAAACCGUGAAACGUGCCGCCUGGGAAGUACGGUCGCAAGGCUGAAACUUAAAGGAAUUGGCGGGGAGCACCACAACGGGUGGAGCCUGCGGUUUAAUUGGACUCAACGCCGGGAAGCUCACCGGAUAAGACAGCGGAAUGAUUGCCGGGCUGAAGACUCUGCAUGACUAGCUG
Molecule: ribosomal RNA, 263 nt
Filed under: uncultured archaeon
Lineage: Archaea
Description: partial 16S ribosomal RNA
Rfam family: Archaeal small subunit ribosomal RNA
Source: RNAcentral